AGAAAAAGAAUCGACAAGAGAAAGAAGAUCUUCUCUCUCAUCACAUCUCUCUGUGUGUGGGCUAAUAGAAUCCCCUUUCUUUUCAUUUCCCUCAACGGCUCCACAGAUCUCAAAAAUUUCACUCUCCAAACCCUAAAUUUCUCGCUCCAUUCUCAUUGCGAUCUAUACGAAGCCAACGCGUCGUCGUCGUCUUCUGGUCCGGAGUGGUGAAUCGAAUCUGAACGAUGAUUCUAGAAGCUUCAUGAAUCUUCUUCUUCAUGGAUAAACUACAUCCAUACGAUGCCUGAACUGCGUAGCCGAGCUCGCAGAUAUCGGGCCUCCGUCAACCAAAACCCGAACCCGAAUCCGGAACCAAUUUCGACAAGCCAACAACCUCCCUCCAACAACAAUAUUAACAAUAACAAUAAUAAUAAUAACAGGAAGAAGCUGACUGUUCGAACUCGACAACAAAGGAGAGCCGGACAGAUUAAGACGAAACCCAACGCGAUCAUCGCUGUUGAUGACAAGAAGGACGGUAAUAAUAAUAAUAUUGUGAACGUUCAGGAAACACCGCCCUUGAAGGACGACGAAGUGGCUAGGGUUUUGGCAGAAGAAGUUGCUGAGAGAAAGAUGGAUGAGUACGACAGCGGUGGCCGUAGCGCAGAUAAGGGUGCUGGAGCUGAGGAUGAAGGAAGCACGGCUCCGCUUCCCGAGAAGGUCCAGGUUGGUGGUUCCCCAUUGUACAGAAUAGAAAGAAAACUGGGGAAAGGAGGCUUUGGGCAAGUGUAUGUUGGUCGGCGGAUUAGUCCAACAAUUGAAAGAACUGGGCCAGGAGCUUUAGAGGUAGCCUUAAAAUUUGAGCAUAGAAGUAGUAAAGGGUGUAAUUAUGGACCACCUUAUGAGUGGCAAGUUUACAAUGCACUUGGCGGUAGUCAUGGUGUGCCACGGGUUCAUUUCAAGGGCCGUCAAGGUGACUACUAUGUCAUGGUUAUGGAUAUGCUUGGACCUAGUUUAUGGGAUGUUUGGAAUAACAAUUCACAUACGAUGUCAAUUGAAAUGGUUGCAUGCAUUGCUAUUGAAGCAAUCUCCAUUUUAGAGAAAAUGCACUCUAGAGGAUAUGUGCAUGGGGAUGUAAAACCUGAAAACUUUUUGCUUGGUCCUUCUGGAACUCCUGACGAGAAAAAGCUUUUUCUUGUUGAUCUUGGGCUGGCUACCAGGUGGCGAGAUGGUUCAACUGGCCAACAUGUUGAAUAUGACCAACGUCCAGAUGUUUUCAGAGGAACAGUGCGCUAUGCUAGUGUGCAUGCUCAUCUUGGUAGAACUGGUAGCAGGAGAGAUGACCUAGAGUCACUUGCAUACACACUCAUUUUUCUUCUUCGUGGCCGACUUCCUUGGCAAGGAUAUCAGGGGGAAAAUAAAGGAUUCCUUGUAUGCAAGAAGAAGAUGGCCACUUCUCCAGAAACAUUGUGUUGCUUUUGCCCUCAGCCCUUUCGGCAGUUUGUUGAGUAUGUGGUGAAUUUGAAGUUUGACGAGGAACCCAAUUAUGCAAAAUAUAUCUCCCUUUUUGAUGGAAUUGUUGGUCCAAAUCCAGAUAUCAGACCAAUAAACACUGAUGGUGCACAGAAGCUUAUAUAUCAGGUAGGACAUAAGAGAGGACGACUGACAGUGGAGGACGAAGAAGAUGAACAGCCAAAGAAGAAGGUUCGCAUGGGGAUGCCCGCAACUCAAUGGAUUAGUGUUUAUAAUGCUCGUCGGCCAAUGAAGCAAAGAUAUCAUUAUAAUGUUGCUGAUGGAAGGCUGUCACAACAUAUUGAGAAAGGAAAUGAAGAUGGGCUAUUUAUCAGUAGUGUGGCUUCGUGUUCAAAUCUGUGGGCAUUAAUUAUGGAUGCUGGCACUGGCUUCAGUGCUCAAGUUUAUGAACUCUCACCCUACUUCCUUCACAAGGAAUGGAUAAUGGAGCAAUGGGAGAAAAAUUACUACAUCAGUGCAAUAGCUGGCGCUAAUAAUGGUAGCUCUUUUGUUGUAAUGUCUAAAGGGACCCAGUAUUUGCAGCAAUCCUACAAAGUCAGCGAUUCGUUUCCGUUUAAGUGGAUCAAUAAAAAAUGGAGGGAGGGUUUUUAUGUCACUGCCAUGGCCACAGCUGGAAGUAGGUGGGCAAUUGUUAUGUCACGUGGUGCAGGAUUUUCUGACCAGGUCGUGGAACUAGAUUUUUUGUAUCCUAGUGAAGGUAUUCAUCGGAGGUGGGAUAGUGGUUACCGUAUCACAUCAACUGCAGCAACUUGGGACCAGGCUGCAUUUGUUCUUAGUGUUCCAAGACGAAAACCAGCUGAUGAAACUCAAGAGACUCUUAGGACUUCUGCUUUUCCUAGUACUCAUGUUAAGGAGAAAUGGGCAAAGAAUCUUUAUAUUGCAUCUGUUUGCCAUGGUCGAACUGUUUCAUGAACCAUCUAAAGUUGGAAUGCUACACAUUUUGCAAACAUUUCCCACCAUUCACUACCCCUUUUGUGAAGCUGAGAUCCACCAUAGCCAAGUUGACUGAUCACUGCAAUGGGAGUUGAUAUAUGCAAAAUUCAUACUUUAUAGUCGCCAUCAUGUAGCAUCUCGUACAAUCACCUGUGCACUGUCUUUCAAUUGUGUUGGAAUGCUUAUCCGCUCAUGUUAAGUAUCUCAGUGCCAUUUGGAUGGAUCUCGGAAGCAGACAUGGUAUGCAAGGCUUCUUAACACCCAUGUAACUAGUAGAGUCACCAACUAACCAAGCAAAAGUCUGCUCGGGGAAGCUUGAAACUCAAUUCGCCACUGUAGUAAGCUCUGGCCUUUUCCUUAAUCUCUGCAGUGCUUUAACACAGGGUAACAAGGCCCUUGGGUAUGGAUAGGCUGCUAUGCAAGUGCAAGUGUCUUUCAUACCAUAAAAAGUCAGAACAAGGUUUUAUUUUGUCAUGACUCGUGGGUCUAUAUGGUAGCAAAUAGUGGCAACAUACCUCAUUGAGAAGCUGGAGUACCUGACUAAACGAGUUGCGAACUCAGUUAGAGUUCGACAAGGAAAGAUAUAUCUUUUAUAAUUUUACAAUUGUUGAACAAGAAAACUUGUGGUUUGCAAAAAGAAUUUGAUUGAACCAUUACUAUCCGAAAUGGCAGAGUUAAGGAUAUCUGUUUAGGAUUACCCUUGGCAUUGUGUUAAAUAUGGUUAAUAAUAUGGAUGAAAUCUAACCCACUAUGAAGUGGCAUUUAGGUUCA
RNA transcript from Mangifera indica (mango), 3213 nucleotides. It is a transcript of the gene named casein kinase 1-like protein HD16, with no coding region annotated. The transcript has 20 exons. The record is from RefSeq and is a predicted model, not a curated record. Lineage: Eukaryota; Viridiplantae; Streptophyta; Magnoliopsida; Sapindales; Anacardiaceae.